GGCGGUGGGCGGUGGGGGCUAGUCGCUUCGUCUUGCCCUCCUCCGAACCCCCCAACUCCGCCUGCCUCGGGUCCGGGCUGUGGCCCUGCAAGGGGGCGGACGAGGCGACCCUAGCGGGAUGGGAAAGUGUGGGGUUCCCAUCCGCUGCCUUGGGGAAGGCCUGAUUUUUUUUGGGGGGGGGGGACAGGGCUCCUCAGUCCUGAAACCCUAACCCCCCCGCCCCGAGGUGCAAAUCCGGAGUUGCCUCCUCCAGCUCUGCGCAGAGCGAGCUCAGAAUAUCCCGUGACUCAGUUUAGGGUCCAGAGGUGCAACGCAGCUCCUCCCCACCCGCCUGAAAGCGCAGCUGUUUCCGGGAGGGGGGGCGCGGGCGGCUGGUCCCCUUAGAACAGGAGUUCUCAAAACUUUUUUUCCUUGGGCCGCACUUUCACCAAAAAAAAAAAAAAAAAAUAAAUCUGCUAGCGCCACGCUGAACUUUUUCGUCGCAGAACGAAAAGAAAGAAUUAUAACACAGGGACACAACUGCUUUAUGAUACCAUCGCAGACGGGACGUCCAGAAAGGAUGAAAUAACGCAGCCACACAAGGACACGAAUUUUUCCCAAAAUAUCAUAUUGAUGGUCCGCCGCUCUUGCCAUUCUCUCCUGCCCCCCCCCUCGAGAACCGCUGCGUUCAGCACUUGCAGCAAAAAAAUCACCUGGCGAUGCCUUGAGCCCCUUUGUUUCUGCACAGAUUUUCACAGGUGCCCUAAGUUUUAUCCUGAGUUACAGGACUGGACGCCACAAAGCGAAGAAACUCGCACACUCUAGGACUGAUGCCGGCAGAAGGGGGUUCUUUUUUGGACGCGUGCAGACUGCUUCCUUCGCCCCCAUCCUACCCUCCCCCCCCCCGGCUUGCUCUCCGGAAACCCGCCCUGGUGGACCCUUUCAGGUACAGCUUUAGAUGGUCAUGGACUUACACAAGUAGGUAUCGAUACAGCAUGCUCAAAGCCUCCCCCUCCCCAACUUGUUUCUGGGUGCGGGUGCCUGUGGAGCUCAAGGUGCCCCACGCCUGGGUGCUGGAAGGAACGGCUUGGGGCGCGGGAAGAGUUUGUGGUAAGGCAGUUUGUGGUCAGAAACCUCUCUGUCUCUCUUUCUGCUGCCCCGGCCUCCUCCAUCUCAGCCAGGGAAUCUUUUUGUUCUGGACAGAACUCCGUGGGGAGAGGGGGCGGCGGAGGCAGCAGCAGCAGAGAGCCUCUGGACCCCCAGCGCUUGAGGGGGAGGAGUGUGGAUUUUGUGGCAAUUUUCUCUCUUCCACCUGAUUUAAGGCGGUAUAAACCUCAGCCAGGCUCUGGAGCCAAAAGUCUGCCCCAAGGGGCCGGAAACACCCCCCCCCCCGGCUGAACUGAACACAAGUGAACUGGGUUAAUUUAGGUCCGUGAGAAUAAGUCCUCUCCUCUCCUCUCGGAGUACUUGAGGGCAAAUACUCCUCCAUGUUUGUGGCUUCUCAGCCGCCCUGAAUUUCCACACGCCUUUCUUUGAACGGGGUUGGCAGCCAGGAAAUUGGGAUGGGGGGCACUUCUGUGAGCAGUUUCUGGGUCGCACCUUUUACCCUGUGACUUCCCCCUCCGCUUUUGGUAGGCUAAAUAUUGGAUGAGCAAAGAAGGGCAAGGUUUUUAGCAGCUACGUUAGGUUUCCAAAACAUGUCUGUGUUUUAAAGGGUGGGUUGGACUAGAUGACCCUUGGGGUCCCUUCCAGCUCUACAAUUCUAGGAUUCUGCUAUUCUUCUUGUUGCAGAGAAAAGGGGUGUUAUCUCUGUAUCCAGCAGUGUGAGGAGCUUUUGCAUUGCUCGGAGCCUCACUCUAGACCAGGGAUUCCCAAACAUGGAUUUUGGACUGUUUUUUGGACUACAAUCCCUUCCACUAGUCUUGCCAGCUAGUUACGGUGGGAAUUGUAGUCCAAAACCAGCUGGGAGACCCAAGUUUGGGAAAGACCAGUCUAGGCUUUUGCUAGAUUAAACCACUCCCUGCUGCCCUGCUCAGGGUGCAGGAUCAGGUCCUCUUGGGUCCUCGCUUUCAGUGCCACCUGGUGGCCUUCAUUAUCACAAACACCUGGGGAGAUGUGGCCACAAUUAUUCAUUCCUCUCUCUCUCUCCCCCCUCUCCAUUGUUUGCUGGGGCUCCUCUCUUGAGUGUGCUGUAAAACUGUGCAUGUGCGUAGCCACGGGGUGGGGUGGGGCAGCUGUCCUCCCUAAAUCAAGCAAAUCAAUAAAAAUACUUAACUA
Non-coding RNA from Podarcis muralis (Common wall lizard), 2256 nucleotides. The record is from RefSeq and is a predicted model, not a curated record. Lineage: Eukaryota; Metazoa; Chordata; Lepidosauria; Squamata; Lacertidae.